RNAcentral lists this ribosomal RNA (274 nucleotides) under uncultured bacterium. RNAcentral's name for it is "partial 16S ribosomal RNA". It matches the Rfam family "Bacterial small subunit ribosomal RNA", at positions 523 to 796 of the family's 1533-position model. The record is from RNAcentral.
AUACGGAGGGGGCUAGCGUUGUUCGGAAUUACUGGGCGUAAAGCGCGCGUAGGCGGAUUGAACAGUCAGGGGUGAAAUCCCGAGGCUUAACCUCGGAACUGCCUUUGAUACUGUCAGUCUUGAGUUCGAGAGAGGUGAGUGGAAUUCCUAGUGUAGAGGUGAAAUUCGUAGAUAUUAGGAAGAACACCAGUGGCGAAGGCGGCUCACUGGCUCGAUACUGACGCUGAGGUGCGAAAGCGUGGGGAGCAAACAGGAUUAGAUACCCGAGUAGUCC